GGGACAGAGUUUUGCUCUUGUUGCCCAGGCUGGAGUACAGUGCUGCGAUCUCGGCUCACUGCAACCUCGGCUCACUGCAACCUCUGCCUCCCAGGUGAAUUCUCCUGACUCAGCCUCCCGAGUAGCUGGGAUUACAGGCUUGCGCCACCACGCCUGGCUAAUUUUUAUAUUUUUAGUAAAGACGCGGUUUCACCAUGUUGGCCAAGCUGGUCUCGAACUCCUGACCUCAAGUGACCCACCCGCCUCCGCCUCCCAAAGUGCUGGGAUUACAUGCUUGAACCACUGUGCCCGGCCUUUUUUUUUUUUGAGAUGGUGUCUCAAUCUGUCACCCAGGCUGGAGUGCAGUAGCGUGAUCUCGGCUCACUCCAACCUCCACCUCCUGGGUUCAAGUGAUUCUCCCACUUCAGCCUCCCAAGUAGCUGGAACUACAGGUGCACGCCACCAAGCCUGGCUAAUUUUUGUAUUUUUAGUAGAGACAGGGUUUUGCCAUGUUGGCGAGGCUGGUCUUGAACUCCUGACCUGAUCCACUUGCCUCGGACUCCCAAAGUGCUGGGAUUACAGGCACCAUGCCCAGCCAAUUACUCUUAAACUUUUAUAUCUGUCUGUCCCAAGUAAAUUGAGGCCACAGGGACAUCUUCAGUGUGUCAAUGAUACUAAAAAUUUAAAAGAAAAUGAAUAACGAGUAAGUACUUAUUUAUAAAUACACCUAUGUUAUUGAGCAUGAAUGAAUAUUGUUCAAAUCAGAGAUUUCAAAACAUUUUUCAAACUUUGGCCUUGGACUCUAGAAAUAUGGUCCUCUAAAAUUCUGGGUAUUUGUAAGAACAUUUUAAGAAGCCUCUCUAAUGAAGUAUUUAAUAUAAGGCAGAGCCCUUUCUGGACUCUACCCAGGCUACUUAACUAGUAGAAAAAUAGGCAAAUCUCAGGCAAAAGUUUAAUUUGUAGAGAGACAGCUUUGGUUGAAACCUAAAGAAGUGUUGACAUAAAAUGUAUAGAUAUGCCUUACUUUACGCAAACAUAAGAAAAGGUAUAUUUACGAAAGAAAUGAAUGCAAGAUUCUAUUAACUAUGUAUGGACAAUAUAGUAGGGUAUCUUGGGGAAAACCUCCACAAAGUAAGGCAGUAUCAUUUAUCAUUUUAACAGAUAUAUUUUACUUACACGUUGUCACCUCUUACAAUGUAUAAUCCUAGUACCACUUGCUCUACCCCCUGUGAAGAGCUGAAUACUCGUUCAUGGCUUUCAUCCAAAAUCAAAUUAAUGGUCUGGUCAAAACCUUUCAGUGUUCCCUGUAAAGAAAAUAUUCAGGAGAAAAAGAGAAAUAUUCUGCUUUACCUGAAAGUGUAAAUUUAGCCUCACAGUCAUUUUAGUUGCCAGGUAUUCCAAUACAAGUACCUAUACGAUGGCAAAUAAAAUGCCUUUUUUAUAACCAACAGUAUUUGAGGGUACACAAUUUACCUCUUGGUUAUUUGGCUGGGGUGGGGGGACCUGCACCACACAUCUCACUCAUAUGCAGAGUUGACGGCAGUUACAAAGGACACCUGUGUACUAAUGUGAGUAUCUCCAAGUAAGUAGCAUAAAAGCUUACGUAGACCAGCAGCUAAAGGUAUAAACUAAAACAAAGGAGAUUUAAGGGAAAAUGAUAGGCAAAUAUACAUAAAUAAGGAAGAACCAUACAUACCAACUACAGCAAUGUAAUAGUAUCACUAUAGGCUAUAUGCCAGCACUAGGCAGUGUGCUAAACACACCGUACACAUUAUCUCAACUCAUCUCUACCCUUUGAUUUAAUACUAUAAUUAGCCCCAUUUCAAAGAAGAAACUGAGGCACAGAAUGGUGUGUCUUAUGGUCACAUGGGUAGUAAGUGGCAGAGCCAGUAGAUGAACCACAAAAGUCUAGCUCCUGAGCCAGACCACUAAACCGUAACAUCCACAAAAGUCUAGCUCCUGAGCCAGACCACUAAACCAUAACAUUCUAUACUAUUAUACACAAGUAAAUAUAAUUUGCCAUUUUUCAGAUUCAAAUCAGUCCCAUAAAUAUACUAAAAAUUUAACUAGUAGUUACAUGUAACACCUAAUCAGUACAUACUAGUUACCAGUGUUCUGUGUCUCACAUGUAUUGUUUAAUGUGUAUCAUAUGGGUUUAUUGUUUAAUUCUCCCAGUAAGGUAGAUACAAAUGUGACUAUACUAAUUAAAACCAGAGCUUGAAGGAAAUAAUCAGGGAGAGUUUUAUGAAAGCUUAGUAUUGAAUAAAAGAAGACAUGGGUCUAGCAUAACAGAGUAACUCACAUGGUAUUCAAGUUUCUAAAGAAAUAUCAACUAACAUUGGUUUUGAUGGUUAAAUCUCUCAAGCUCUUAAACUGUUUUAUCUUCUGAAAGUCAAAAUAUAUAAAAUGAGAAUGAAAUAAAAAGAGAAUGAAAUAAAAUGAGAAUGAAAUCUAUAACUUGGAAGAGAAACAAAAUAUGGAGUAUUUAUUGAACUAGUUAGCAAAUGGUUGUUAUCAUAAACACCCAUUCAUAACUUCUUGACUUCAUUUUACACAUUAUCCCAUCAAAUAAAUUAUGUGUCAAAGAAAUACAGAACUACUGAACUUUAGAACUUAAGAUGCUCUUUCUAUAUCACUUUCCUUCUUCUUUAAAAUUAAAAAUAAUUUCCCAGUUUAUUAUCUACCCUGUUAACAAAAAUAAGAAAAUUUAAACUUAAGGUUUUCACCAAAUUUAAAAAAAAUGCAAAUAUCUAUUAAUAGCAAUAGGCUUCCUGAAGUGUUGAGAUUAAAAUAUGUCUAACUGUCCAUAUUUGAAAAAAUACAAUGUGAGGUGCCUAAGCAAACAUCAUUGCUUCCUUAAGAAAGAAGCCAGGCAACUGGCCUUGGCUUUGAUGUCAAACCAAAUUUAAAUCCCAGUUUGGUUCUGUCACUUGCUACCCUUGCGACUCUGAGAAAGUGAGUCACCUUCUCUGAACUUGUUUCCUAAUCUAGAAUACAGGGGUACUUAUUCUUCACAAGGUUGUAUUGUACAUUAAAUAAUGUAACACAUAUGCACCUGGCACAUGAUAUAAAUUUAGUAAAUGUCAAAGCUAGAACUUUGACUAAUAAUAGUCACUAAGGACCCAGUGAAAAAAAAAAUCACAAGGCUUAAAAAGAAAAGGAACAAAAGCAAAACUGAAGAAUGGAAAAAUAAGGGAUCAAAUUAUUUUAAGAAACUAGGUAAGGUUAGAAAAUAGAGAAAGUUUAGUAGCCUUAAAAUUCUUUUGAAAGCAUUCAGAGUAUGAAUUAUAAGUGAAGAAAUAAUCAAGUACCCAAAAAUCUUGAGAUGAAUUCCUCAGAUCAAAUUCCAAAUACAAGUAUCACCAUAGGAACGUUUUAUCUUAGUUAUAUGACAUGAAUUAGCAAGGGAGAAACAACUUCAAGGAACAAGCCAAUUUUACAUAUAUAUGUAUAUACAUAGAAAGUCAAUCAUCAUAAUGUGUCCUACAGAAGACAUGUCACACAACCUAAAAACAAUAUUAAGAUUGUAUACAAGCCUUAAAUGUUGAUAUCUAGAUAUUAAUAGUAUCUAAAUCAUUAAAAAGUUACUAAGUAUAUGCAAAAUUUCAAAAAAUUCUGAUUCAUGUGGUGCUGAAUGGGGAAGGAAAUAAAAAUGGAAGAAGAAAAGUAAAUUUAAUAAAGGUCUACAGACCAGGAGCUCUCUGAGGGCAGAAUCUAUUAUUCUAGCUCCUAGAAGCCUUGUAGGUAACACACAAUGUUUAUUAGUGAGGAAAACGUGGAUCGACAGCAAAGUGAUAAAGAGCUGAAUUAUAAUAAAAUUGCACUACCGGUGUAAUGUCCUGUCUAGGCAUUAGAGAUUAGAGGUUUCACAUAAAACUUGCAAGCAAUAAACCUACAGGAAAGCAGAGAAUGAAAAUUCCGAAGACUUACCACAAUCAUUCUCCCAUCUGAUGUAAUAACGGCAACAGUUCCUGAUAACUGAAUCAAAGAAAGUGUUUCUUAGGAAAUGCAAACUGAAAACAGACUCUGGCAAGGUAAUGAUUUGAAUUUUUAGAAGAAAUAUGACAACUAGGUAAAAGUAUUCAACACAGCCACUAAGUUCACUACAUCAAAACGUUAAAAGUUUUUUGGACGCCAAGGCAGGAGGAUCACUUGAGGUGAGACUAGCUUGGGCAACACAGCGAUACCCCCAUCUCUAUUACCCUGGCCUGGUGACCUAUAGUCCCAGCUACUCAGGAGGCAGAGGCAGAGGCAGGAGGAUCACUUGAGGUGAGACUAGCUUGGGCAACACAGCGAUACCCCCAUCUCUAUUACCCUGGCCUGGUGACCUAUAGUCCCAGCUACUCAGGAGGCAAAGGCAGAGGCAGGAGGAUCGCUUGAGGUGAGACUAGCUUGGGCAACACAGCGAUACCCCCAUCUCUAUUACCCUGGCCUGGUGACCUAUAGUCCCAGCUACUCAGGAGGCAGAGGCAGAGGCAGGAGGAUCGCUUGGGCUCAGGAGUUCAAGGUUGCAUUGAGCCAUGAUCAAGCCACUGCACUCCAGCCUGGGCAACAGAGUGAGACCCUCGACUCAAAAAAAGAAAAAAGAAAAAAAAACUUAAAAAAAGCUUCUGUCUUUGUCUUUGUGAUAAUUACAUGAUUAAAAAAGGGAAAAAAUAGAAAAAGAAAAGCUCUUUCUGUAUGUGAUCGGUGUAUCCUAUCUCAAAAUAUCCUGGAUUUUUGACACUUUUCUACUCGGAAUGUUACCAAUCUAUUUCGGGCAGGAUAUUUCGUUUCUUAGGCCUGUUUAUUUCUAAAAUGAAAAUUGGAUGAGUACUAAAUUAAUCGAUGUUGGACGAUCUUCCAGCAUGUUAAAAAACUGUCUUCCAGGACAGGCUUCUGUAAUUCAAAAGUAAAGAAACUAUAUAAGCAGCGUCACAGGGUACCAAUAACGCAUCAUUAAAAGCAUUUGGUAUUUAAUUUUUGUCACCCAGUUUGUACCUGAGCUUAACGUAGUGUUUUUGUCCUGAGACUUUAAAACGGUAACACUUGUAAAGUCUAUUUUAAGACUUCCCAUGGGGUUGUUACUUGCUCCUCACUAUAAUCCAUUACAACAGCAAGCAUUUUUUUCAUUCUACCAACAAGUUGGGACUUCAAGUGGCAAAGGGACAGAAACAGUCUGCGAACCAUCGUUAAACUUUUUGCUAUCCUCGAACGAGCAAAUCAUGUGAAUAAAACAAGUACACAGAUUUGCAAAACUGUUGUCGCCGCCAGGACGACUGUUCAUCUUAUUCACAAACUUUACCACUUAUGCCAUAGGGAAAUAGUAAGGAACUUCAACACUUAUGCCAUGGGGAAAUAGGAAAUCAAGGGCGUAUAUUAGAAUAAUCACAGUGGGUUUUUAUUUGGCUUUUACAGGCAAAAUGGAAAGGACCCCUGGCCCCGCAGCAGCAGCAAGGCUCGAGGCGCCGCCGGCGAACUCUGGGUCGUUCCGGGGCCCUCAUCUCCUCGCCCGCCCCCAGGAUCCCGCCGCGGCCGGGCCUCCCAACCUCCCACCGAUCCCCGACCGGCGGCCUCUCCGCGACCCCGGCUCACGCCCGAGGCGGCCAGCUUGAGGAUACGGUUGAUGUAGUUCUCCAAAGCGGACGUCAUGCUGUUCGGCCCGGCAGUUCCGGCUAACGCAGCGGUGCCGGCAACAAGCAGAACUGAAAGGGCGCGCCAGAACCCGGCAGCGGCUCGCGCCUGCGGCCCGCAGCAAAUAUCGUGAGAGUUGCUGCUCCGCAGCCCUGCGAGUCGGAAAUUGGGACAAACUGGCCAACCAAACAGAAGCCGCACAGCGGUUACGAGAGAGUGCGCGUGCGCAGUAUGUUUUCGCUGUAAUUCUAGGCCGUGUUCCGGAAACCGCGUAAGACAAAAGCGAACGAGAGGCGGAAAAAAGGAAGACGCUUCCUGAAGACUAUGGAUCACAAAUAUUUACAGCUAAAAGGGAACCUAAGAAUUUUCGAAUUUACAUUCUGUGUCAUAUGGAUUAGGAAACUGAAUCCCAAAUAAGUUCAGUGACUCUUUUAGGGUUAUAUAGUAGAACCUACAAUCAAGGCCUCCUGGAUUCUAGUUCAGUGCUUCUUACAAUAGUUAAUAAUAAAAGUAACUGUUCUACUCAAAGGACAAAAUUUUGAGUUUAUAUGUACAUAUGAUCAGCGCAUAUCCAUGGAUACAUCAUUGCUAUUGUAUGUAGAGUUUUUCAGAAAUCAGAAGGAAUAUAUAUACCUUUGAGUCCGAAUACUCAAAGGCAGGUUGACAUUUUUCAGAUGUCACUACCAAUGGGAAGAAUAGGAAAGGCAACUAGGAUAUUGUGGAAGGUAGAAUAAUCUCUCCUACCCCCCCAACCCCCAAAGAUGUCCACAUCCUAAUCCCUGGGAACUGUGAUUGUUACUUUACAUGUCAAACAGCACUUUUCAAAUGUGAUUGAAGGUAAGGACCUUGAGAUGGUGAGGUUAUUCUGGAUUACUCAGCUGGCCCCCUCUAAUCAUGAGUCCUUAAAUGCGGAAGAGGGAAUCAGAAGAGUGGGCCUGAGAGAUGUGACGUGAAAAGACUUGUUCUGCUGUUGAUGGGCUUUGAAGUUGGAGGAAGAGGGCCAUGAGCCAAGAAAUGUGGUUAUCUUUAGAAGCUGAGAACAGCUCUUAGUUUAUAGCCAGCAAGAAAACAGGGACCUUGGUCCUACAACAGCAAGAAACUGAAUUCUGCCAAAAUCUAAGUGAGCAGGAAAUGGAUUCUUCCCUACAGCCUACUUCUGGAGGCAUACAUUCUACUAACACCUUGAUUUAAGUCCAGUCAGACCCAUAUCAGACUUACAGAACUGUAAGUUGAUAAAGUUUUGUUGUUUUAAGCCACUAAGUUUGUGGCGAUUUGUUAUGGAAGGAAUACAAAGUGAUACAGAUAUGCAACCUCUUAAUUUAUUGUCUUCCUGGAUAAAAGUAAAGUGUCUAUACUGUACAUAGGAGGUUUUGAACAUUUUUUAUUCAUUCUAAACGACUUAAGUACUAUUGCUCAUGACCAUCUUUUUCUGUGGCACAAAGUCUUUCUAAAUUCUAAACUUCUGCCCAGAAUUUCCUCUGUGGUGACAUUAAGUAAAAGGUGAGUUUCUUCAAAGUAUUAUUUAAUACAUUUGUGUGUUUUUCUUAUUAUACUGUCAUUCUUAUAAAGUGGAUGCUCCACUGUCAUGACAAGUCGGAGUGGUACAUGUUCAGUCUUUACAUAAAUUUUAAGUCAUCUUCGUCAAGUACCUACUGUGUUCCACACCUCUGUUACUCCAGUGGUUUCUGCUGGUUUUUUCUCUAAGUUUUGUCUCUUGCCCGAACUCGUUUUGUUGGUAAUUAACAGAGCCGGUCUUUAAACUUAGACAGUCAAGCUCCAAUGUACUGCACUGCCAUUGAGAUUGUUGCCCAAGAAAAAUUCACAGUAGUGUCAAGAAAUAAAGAACAUAUAUAGACAAAGGAUCACUUAAGGUUAUUCAGAUUUGAAUAGUUGUGACUGUUUCUUCAGAUUCCUGGGCCUAACUCUUUACAAAGAGGAAGAGACAGAUUCAACACUUUUCUGCCUCUGUGGCAUUUUUUCCAUUUCUUCAGUAUUAAGUAUCUGUACUAUUACUGUUUUCUAUAACAGGGGUUGGCAAACUACAAACCUUGGGGAAAUCAUUCUGUUAGUAAAUGUUAUUGGCACACAACCACAAUCAUUAAUUUGUAUAUCAUCUAUGGCUGCUUUGAGGCUACAACAGCAGAGUUGAGUAAUUGCAACAGACGCCCGCAAGACCUAAAAUAUUUAUUAUCAGGCUCUUUACAGAAAGUUUGCAGACCGCUGUUUUCUGAUGUCAACAAAUGAGAUUUCCAGAGCUUUUAUAUUACCAAUUUAUCAUUCUGACCGGCCUCAUGUAUUCUCAUAAUGCCCAUUUUUGACUAGCUUUGAGAUAUGAUUCUUCCAUUUUUCUGAACUUGACCUCUUGCACUGAGAAUAAAGCACUGAGAGAAACAGACAUAACAAAACCUCAGAGGACUUCAGAGAAAGUCUGUAUUGUUUCCUCCCUACCUACCAUUCUACCUAUUGUUUUUACAAUUUCUGUCAAGAAUAUGCAGGAAAAUAAAUGAAAAAUAACAACAAAAAGAAUAUGCAGGAACUUUUCCAAGUCUUUACCCCAUGUGAUAAUAACUCACAUAAUGGAAUUUUUCAUGCAUGUGGCAUGAUCAAAAAUAAUGGUCUGCAUUUUAACGUAUGCACCAGAAACUAAACUGAAAAUCACCAACAUGUCAAAAUGAUGCAGUGAAUUGAAACAAAAUCUCACCAGAGAGAUUUUUUGAAAACAAGAUAAUUCUUAUUAAAGACAGCUAUUUGUUGGGGACAUUAGUCAUUGCUUUUUGGCUGCUUAACCUCAGUACUGUCUUUUUAUUUCUUGAGAGUUCCCUAUUUUACAAGUUUUGGUGAUAGAGCUCAGUGUAUCAGCCACCUUUUUUCUGAUGUUUCUUGGAGUGAAAGAGGCCUAGGCUCUGCUUAUGACUACCACAGAUAUUGAAUUGAGGGCGGGUGCUGCAAAGCAGCAAAUCCUGUAGAGAAACGACUCUGAUGAUCAUACCAGUUGUAGCAAGAGCAAAUUCAUAAAGGAGCAUGCCAUUGAUGCCUGUGGUGACAUCCAGGGCACAGUGAGCAGUGCCACUGUGUAUUGGGUCAGAAGCUUCAGUUUGAUUGUUUGACAGUGGUGUUCAGAGGGUCCUGGCUUACCCAGCUUUACUCUGCAUUUGGGACCUGCCACCCAGCUACCUAACCUCUGAAUAUUAUUCUCCUUUUUAAAAGGAUAUUGAGUAGCUCACAUAAUUGUAAGACAAUUAUGAGCUAUUUUUGCUCAUAUGGCUUCUAAAUUUUAACUAAAAAAAAUUUAAACCAAGACCCUUUUAUGCAUGUUUACUUUAAAAUGCUAAAUUUUUAUGUACUAAGUUUAUUAAUUGCAAAGAAUGGAACUUCUAGCACAUAGUGUUUUGUUUAUAUGCUUUAAAUAUAUCUUCAUUAAAAUUUUGUAGCUGCAAAUUUAAGUCAUAUUUAUGGUAGAGCCCAUAUCCUUAUCAAACCCAUUAGCUGACUUUAUUUUUCUAUUUAAGUAAAUAUGUUACCCUGCAUCCUGUGAGUGCUGUUGGAGAGUCAGUCUACCAUGAGCCCUGAAAAAUCACUGCACAUUCUUUCCGGGGAUGCUGCUGGUGCAAAGCCCUGACUACUCCUUACCUAGGCAAGUUUUAUGUCUCUUAUAGGUAUAUUAGUAUAUAAUAAUAUCCAUUUCCCAUUUCUCUCAAAAUGACUUCACUGUGCUCCAGUGUACUUUCAGUUUUUGAUAUGUGCAUCUCCGUGUUUGAAGGCAUUUUCUGCACCCCUGUUCGUGUGUGGCAGGCUAGGAAUUCUGGGGAAUUAACACUCCCUCAGGGAGCAGUCUUCAGUCAGUGACUGAGUUUAUAAAUAACAGCCUCUUCAUCAACAAGGUGGGAUAAUCCAGGUGCUAUAUCUGCUCAUUCAACAGUAGCUGGCUUAAUUGUGCACAUUUUAUUGACUCACUUCCUUUCCUUAUAACCCUUCUCCACUGCCUUACUGGUUUUCCCUAAAUAAUCUACUUGCACUUAAAUUCUUGCCCCAGGAUCUGCUUUUGGGAGAACUCAAACUAAGAUAGAGAUCAGAAGUACUCUUCCUUUAAAAAGGUCUGUUUCUUGAGUUAGGAGCAGGAGUCUAGUCCCAGUCCUUGUCAUCAUUUGACUUCACCUGAUUCUCUUUUAUGUGAAGCAAAGGACAGGGUAGGGUUUCUCCCCAUCUUCACACAUCUGCACAAGCCUCCCUAAAUAUUCCUGAGUGGGCAGUCUUUGCUACCACCAAAGUUGGUCUAAAGUGGAUUGUUUACUCAAAAACAAAAUUCCUGUCUUUAGUAGACCAUAGACUGUCUGCUGCACCAGACUUCAACUUGGCCCAAUUAUGUAGCAAGAAAUGAUACAAAGAAGUAACUUAGUUAUCUGAUUGUGGCACAGCUAACAUUUAUUUCAUGGUGUUAGGACAGACUCUUGACUGCCGAUUGCCACUUACCUCAUCAAGCUAGAAAUGGAAAAAGUAGAGUGAGCCCACAUUUCAGAGCUGCUCUGACCUACUGAUUCAUUCCUCUGGGAGGGUGAGAUCCCCACGCUCUGAGAGAACCUCCCGCUUGUUGCAGCCACGAAUCUGUAUUCUAAUCUCAUGUAUAUCAUUUGCCUUGCUUGCGUACUGGUUCAAAGCAAGCCAAGGAGAGAGCACUGUUAGGUGAAUGUGAGAUGCCAUUCUCACCCGUCCUCCAGCAAUAACAACCUCUCUCUGUGGACUGGCAUGGGUGGUCACCACCAAAUAAACCUGAACAUCCUGCAAGCAUAUUGGGCUCUUCAAGCAAACAUUUGACAAAUUUGAUCUCACCUUCCUCCCCAACACCACAGUGAUCUAGUUGUGGCUUUCAAGAAGCCUGAGCCAAACUCGCAGUGUGGUGAUGUUAGUUAGUCAUGGAGAUGAAGGUAUAAGCUACCCAUGCCUUUUCCCUGGAGUAAUUGGGCAUGGGCUGGUGAACUUGCAAGGGCCUGGAGUUUAUGGAAUUUCACUCUUACCAAUUUGGUAAAAAAUAAAAUUAAAAAGUAUGUUUCCACAGAGCAUCGUGGUGUGAGCCUGUGAUCUCAGCUACUUGGGAGACUGAAAUGAGAGAUCACUUGAGUGCAGAAAUUCGAGGCUAUAGUGAGCUGUGAUCACACUAUUCCACUCUAGCCUGGGUGAGAGUGAAUCCCUGUCUCCAAAGUAAAUAAUUAAAAGUGUGUUUUCAUUUCUUAUCUCAGAGAAUCUUUGUGAAAAUAGCUCUUCUUGCUUCUGUCGUAGCUAGCCCUUCUUUGCCUUCCCCAGAGUUUAGACGGAAGACCAGAAGACCCUGAGUGAAGAAAAAGAUCUUCUUUGUAGUCUCUUUUCAUUCCAUACAAAUGGAUGACUAUAAACACAUUAGGCAUUACCAGUCGAUUUGCAGCAAUCGACACAACUUUACCUUAAAUUUUCCUCCCCCAGCAUGCCUCUCCAAAGAAACUUACACAGAAAACCUCAGUAACGAUAGCUGUUGCACUGGGCUUUAACCUUUUCUACUCACUCAUUUAGAAAUCUUUACUGAAAGUUUCACAUGUUAAAAAAUAGAACAAUUAUUUUCAUAGAGAAUAUUGGAAAUAAGUAAGACACAUUUUCUUAAGACUUUUACCUUUUUCAUGGAGUGUGUGUGUGUGUGUAUACAUACAUGUCUGUUUGUAUGUAUAUAACAUUAACCACCAUAGGAAAGCAGAAAGAAAAUAUGCAGUGGUGUGUAUUGCCACACAGAUACUGCUGGGAACAGUAUCUCUCUUUGCACAGAAACUUUUCAGUUUCUCUGUGGGUGGUGUCUCUUGCCCCUUUCAGUUCCCAAGAUAAUUGGGUAUCAAGAGGUCACUACUAGACAGAGAGCCUUAUUUCCUGACCAUCGUCAAUUCUAUAAACGAUGGAGCAAAGUGCCAGAUACUGAGACAAUCAUUGGCUCUCUGAAGCUAAAUAAGAUACUGUUCCUGCUUUUGAGGAGUUUAGGUUGUAAUGAUAUCUUUUCUAAAAUAAAUAGAACUAGCUGAGGUGGUUCUCCCUGUAUUGAGUUUGGGUUGGCAGGCAAGGAAAUGGAGUUAGGCACAGUUGGCUCAACUUUCAAUGGGUGCAAAAUCUUAGAUGAAAAUGAGAAUUGGAAGGAUCCUGUUUUAGCAUUAGUGAAUUAUUCCUUGUAUCCAAUAAGUAAAGUGAUGGACAAAGGUCUGUCUGGGACUAAUUAGGAGAGACAAAAUAAAUCCAAUUUAGAAGGCUGAUACAAAAUUUCUAGAUAGGUUUACGAAUCAGUUGAAUCAAUGAAUGUCUCCUCCUUCCUGAGAUAGUGGAAUAACUUGCCAACAUUGAUUUAGAGAGUUUAUUGAUGUCUCUUGGUCAUUUCACUUCUUGACUGGCUCCCCUAAUAGGCCAUACCCUCCACUCAAGGCUCUGCAGUGGAUUCUCAUCUGCUGAGGGGCAGGUUCAAGCCCAUGCUCAGGAUGCCUCGAUUAUUUCAUCCCGAAUCAUAACUCCCUAGUCUACCCCAUUUGUUCAGAAUUCUAGGAGAGCUACUCUACCCACAUCGGACUCCAGGUGAAUAAGAAAUAAAUGUUGUAUAACAACAAAUUUGGGAGUUUUAAAAAAUAACAGUUAACUCUACACUAAGAUUUUUUUUUUCAUUUUGUAAAUGAGGUUUAAAUUCGAGUGAAGGUUGUAAAUCAUACAUAAUUUCUGUUUAAGUUUAUUAGUGAAGUAAUUCUGAGGCAGUUUCAUGAGUGCAAUUAACAAAUAUUUUAUCCAGGAGAAGUUUUCCUGGAAGAACAGAAAUACAUUGGAAAGUUUUCAGAAUAUUUUAUAAAUAUUUUGUGAAAGUUAGGUUGAAAACUUGAAGAAAGAGGGUAUUGAAUCCUAGUAAAAAUCAGAGAUCCCUGAUUCUGCCAUCCUCAGUAUUUGGCCUCCAUAGUCAUUGAACAGAAGGAAGAGAGGACUUUGGAAUCAUAUGAAGUAAAAGGCCUUGGUGUGGUUUUCGUCACUUUGGUCUACAUCCCAUCUUUUAGUACUGAAUCACAAUUCCCCAACUGAACUAAUGAGAGGCCAAUAAAUACAGUCCACCUGUACACUCAGAAAGAUGUGUGGAAUUGGUAGACAUCUAGCCGAUUUGUUCUAUGUUGUGUUAAUAGAAAUCAUCUAGAACGAAUGCUCUUGUAAAAAGGAUACAGUGGUUAAAGGGUUUUGUUAUAAAGAACUUUCUUAAGACCACACAAAUAAUGGCAAAACUAAACCAGAACUCAGACCUCCAGACCACAAUACUUCCUCCAGUGUUCCAAAUUACCUUCCUACAUUGGCUGGGAGGCUUUUGGAAGGGACAAAAAACCUGAACCAAAGUGGAUUAUGAAAGAAAAAACUUGGAGAGUAUGAGUUCAUGUAACUGAAUUGUGUACACACCGCUCUAAUUUUAGGCUUUAUAAAAGGGAGACUUAAUUCAUCAGUUCGUGUUGCCAUCUGGACACUGAGUCCAUUUUGAUUCUUGUAGCUCUGUCUUCCUGCAGAUGCUGGACUAGUUUUCAUACUAGAUCCCCUCAUGGCAGCAUUAAGGAACUUCACAUUCUUCUCACACUGUUCAUGGAAAGUUCCUGGAACUCCCACAGCAGCAAGGAAACUUCGCUUUUAGGAGUCCUUAGCACAUCUGUAAUGUUUUAUUGGCCAAAAUGUGAUACAUCUCCAUUUCUGGAUUAAUCACUGUGGUCAAGUGCAAGAUGCUUUGCAGGACUCAACCUGGGGAUGAGGUCUGUCCACUCCAUCCACAUAGUCACUUUAUACUGAGGCUGGGUAAGUACUCCUAAGGAAAUCAGGUUUGUUUUGGUUGGAAAAAAAAAUGGAAAUGGAUGCUGAGGUAACAGCCAACAAAUAUCUACUAUUUUCUAAGAUGUGUUUGAAACUAAUGCAAAAAAGCUCUGAGAUUAAGAUAUGUAUGUAGCUCAUCACUUUAAUUGUAUUUCCUGUAUAUAAUAUUUAUGGUACCUAAACUGUUACUAAGAUGUUUAUUAUUUUAUUUAAAAUUUGGUUGAGGUUUUCUAUAUCAUCCUAAACCUAAGUUUGGAAAUAAAGAUUUAAUGCUAUAUGACAGGUACAAUUGCUAUCCUUUAGUGAAAAGUCCUAAAAAUCUUAUGGUUGAGAAUACAAUAUUUACUUUCUGGAAUCUCUGCUCACAAACUUUCUGGACAAAGAGCAUUAUCCACAAUCACUGCUAACUAAAAGGAUAGAGAAACUUUUCUUAGGCUUUCCUCCAGGAUUGUCUGUGCUUAAUCAGCUCCCCUAUAUAUUCUCAAAUAGCCUCUGAAAAUAUACCCUUUGUCCCUUUUUCAACAAAUCCCAUAAUUCUUUAUUUUUUCUUCCUCAUAGUUACUUUCAGACAUUUACAAUGUCUUAAGAGUGUUAUACAAAUUGAAUAGAAUGAAUUGUGCAAAAUAACGAUAUGUUGUAGGUCCAAAAGAACUGUAUCUUUUUAUGUCUGAGAAAAAGUUUUAAAAUCAGCACCUACACAGCAAUAAAUGGUUUAAUGAUAGCCCUUUAAGUGCACCGUCAGAGCUCUUUUACAGAAUUUUGUGAAAGACAUACUAGAUAAUUUCCAUGGAAAUUGGUCUCAUUUAAAUGAUACUAUCCUAAGGAACAUUUCAUAUAAACAACUCAUAUUUUCUUUAAGUUUAUUUUAAAGGUUGAGCUGACAGUCACAUCAGGAUUUGAUAAGUCAGAGCAGUGCUGAUGUUAUUACAAGGUAAUACUUUUACAAUCAUCAGCAACAGGAUAGGACUGCAGAACUGUAACAGACUUUGCAUGAAAAAGUACAAAAUAAUAUGUUUGAGCAGUUGUGAUAAUAAAU
Long non-coding RNA from Pongo pygmaeus (Bornean orangutan), 14452 nucleotides. RefSeq lists it as uncharacterized. NCBI's taxonomy places the organism in Eukaryota, Metazoa, Chordata, Mammalia, Primates, Hominidae. The record is from RefSeq and is a predicted model, not a curated record. The transcript has 3 exons.